This 807-nucleotide long non-coding RNA is filed under the name Homo sapiens (human). RNAcentral describes it as "HSALNT0208568". The record is from RNAcentral. Lineage: Eukaryota; Metazoa; Chordata; Mammalia; Primates; Hominidae.
UGAGAAGGGUACUUUACCUCUUUAGCAUUUUUCAUCAAAAUUUGUAACUUCAGUCUAAUGAGAAAAUAUCAGACAAUCCAAAUUGAGGAGCAUUCUACAAAAUGUCCAGUACUCUUCAAAAGUGUCAAGAUCCCCCAAAACAAGACAAGACUAAACAAGACAAGACUAAAAAACUGUCAUAGAUCAGAGAAGAAUGGAGAGACCUGGUGACUAAAUGCUUUGGGCUAUCCUGGAUUGGAUUCUAGAAUAGCAAAUAAGCAACUUUCAGUAAAUACUUUUGUAAUUGCCCAUGAGUUGUCAAGCACUCAUGAGAUGAAGUUCCAACUCUACAGAUGAAAGCCCUGUUUUUGAAUCAAGCACUUCAUGAGUAAGGAUUUCACAAAGCUGCAAAAUCUGCUCUUGAGAACCCCUGACAACUAAAUAUUCCAUGGCUUCCACUGAUAAUCAUGCUGUCAGCUUGUCAUAUACCAGGAGGUAUCAACAAUCACCAAGCUCUCGUGCAUUAACUACCUGUUUCACCUCCAUUGAGGAUAUGUCUCAGGUCAAUAAUUGGAUCUAUGAAACCUGGCUGUGAUAAAUACCAAGGAAUUCUAUGCCAGUUCACAGCAGUAAGAGUGCAGAAGUGCCAGAGUGGAGCUCUAAACUACUGUGAGGAAAUUCUAUGCACAUAGCUGGGGCCUCUCAGCUGCCAGACUUCUCUGUAGGGAACAAAGCAAGAACCAGAUGAUUGCUGAUGGACCCUGACAUGCUGCAUCUGGAGAUGUUUCCUCAGAGAGAAACCCUCUGUUCCCCUGUGCUGAGAGACUG